UUUUUUUUUUUUUUUUUUUUUUGAGACGGAGUCUCGCUCUGUCACCAGGCUGGAGUGCAGUGGCCGGAUCUCAGCUCACUGCAAGCUCUGCCUCCCGGGUUUACGCCAUUCUCCUGCCUCAGCCUCCUGAGUAGCUGGGACUACAGGCUCGCCACCUCGCCCGGCUAGUUUUUUUGUAUUUUUUAGUAGAGACGGGGUUUCACCGUGUUAGCCAGGAUGGUCUCGAUCUCCUGACCUCGUGAUCCGCCCGUCUCGGCCUCCCAAAGUGCUGGGAUUACAGGCUUGAGCCACCGCGCCCGGCCUAUUGUUUAUUUUUUAAAGACGGGGACACCAAGGCUUGUGUUACCCCUAAGCCUUGGUGUCACCCCUCAAUGUUGCCCAUUCUCCAUAGACUGUAUAAUAGAAGUUAAAAUUACUUUUGCCCAAAAUCAAAUAUCUUGCAUCAUAUUGCAUUCCUUUUGGCAACCUGCAUUUUUCAGCAGCCUGCAAUUUCCCUAUAACCGGAAAUUUUGAACCUCCAUGCCGUCGUGUGUAAUAUUUUCUACAUGAAAAAUGUGUCAUUUCAACUUAUCUAACUCCUGAUUACUAUUUAAGGUAAGGUAGAAAUGCCAACUUUGUCAAGAAAGUUUUAGAAAAAAGUUGAAAAUAACAGUCUCUUGGUCCACACUCACAUAGCCCUUUGUUUAUAAUAAACACGAUAUUAUAUUAUUCUAUUAAUAGUCAGCUGUUUGUUCAACUCCUUCACCAGACUCUAACGGUCAUUAGGGACUUGCUAAUUCAUUUACUAAUUAAUUAAAGAAAUUUGAGGAGAAUAUCAAGAAUAACCCUCUGCUUGUUCCCAUCCACCAUUCAUCGCUCACUUUCUUAAUUGUUCAUUCACAGUGUACAUAUAUAGUGGUGUCAGAAAUGUUAAGCCAUACCUCCAUGAGAAACAACUUUAUUAACUGGAGCACUGUGCUUGUAUACACUUCCUUUCACCUUUAAUUUUACAGUCUCCUCUCAUUUUUGAAGUUCCUUAUUUCAGCACGUUUUCCCCACCCACCUCAGUGAGGUUGUUUCAUACAUUUUCAAUACAAUUAUAAUAUUUUGUCACACUCUGCAUUCCAUCGUGCAAUCCCUCUACUUCCUAAAUGAUAGUUUUUUUUUCAAGUUGAAUAAAUUAAUGCUUCCUCCUCAAGCUCAAAACUCUAUGGAUUUCGAGAAAUGCAUACUGUUAUGUCCACCAUUUUAAUAUCAUAAAAAAUAGUUUCAGUAUAGUAAAAAAAAAUUUCUUUCUUGUUUCACAUAAUUUAACCCUACUUCCUCUCCCCUCACCUCUGGAAGCACUAAUCUUUUUACUAUAUUGUUUUUCUUUUUUUACCAUGUCAUAUAGUUACAAACAUUUGGUAUGGGGCAUUUGCAGACUAAUUUCUUUCACAGAGCAAUAAAUAUUGAAUAUUCAUGGAUUUAUUCCUGUAGAUUUAUAUGUCUUUCUUCUUUUCUGAGUGUACC
RNAcentral lists this long non-coding RNA (1491 nucleotides) under Macaca fascicularis (crab-eating macaque). Its description in RNAcentral is "lncRNA (ENSMFAG00000061154.1)". Lineage: Eukaryota; Metazoa; Chordata; Mammalia; Primates; Cercopithecidae. The record is from RNAcentral.